AAUCUAUAUCAAUAAAAAAAGGAGAAUAGAUGGUUUUUUGAAAGGAGAAAGUGCAAAUGCCAAAACAUCAAAUGCCACAUAAGAGGAGAAAGUACACAUGCCAAAGUUAGCAUCAAUUACCACAUGCACGCCUACGUCUAAAAGAAAAAAAAAUCCUUCUCAUGUUGAUCUCUAAAUAUCAAGAAUCCUAACCUCUGAUAGAGAAAAGAAGAGCAAAACUUUAAUAAGCAUUCAAUAAAGAUAGAUGAAAGGUUGCAGUGGAGAGAAA
RNAcentral lists this unclassified non-coding RNA (268 nucleotides) under Hevea brasiliensis (rubber tree). Lineage: Eukaryota; Viridiplantae; Streptophyta; Magnoliopsida; Malpighiales; Euphorbiaceae. The record is from RNAcentral.